CCUACGGGUGGCAGCAGUAGGGAAUAUUGCUCAAUGGGCGCAACCCUGAAGCAGCAACGCCGCGUGAAGGAUGAAGGUUUUCGGAUUGUAAACUCCUUUUGUUGGGGAAGAUAAUGACGGUAUCUAACGAAUAUUCCCCGGCUAACUCCAUGCCAGCAGCCGCGGUAAUACGGAGGGUGCAAGCGUUAAUCGGAAUCACUGGGCGUAAAGAGCGCGUAGGCGGGUUAGCAAGUCUGAUGUGAAAUCCUAUGGCUUAACCAUAGAACUGCAUUGGAAACUGUUAUUCUAGAGUAUGGGAGAGGUAGGUGGAAUUCUUGGUGUAGCGGUAAAAUGCGUAGAGAUCAAGAGGAAUACUGAUUGCGAAGGCGACCUGCUAGAACAUAACUGACGCUGAUGCGCGAAAGCGUGGGGAGCAAACAGGAUUAGAUACCCGGGUAGUC
RNAcentral lists this ribosomal RNA (440 nucleotides) under uncultured bacterium. RNAcentral's name for it is "partial 16S ribosomal RNA". It matches the Rfam family "Bacterial small subunit ribosomal RNA", at positions 338 to 795 of the family's 1533-position model. The record is from RNAcentral.